AGACCCGAAACCCGGUGAUCUAGCCAUGGGCAGGUUGAAGGUUGGGUAACACUAACUGGAGGACCGAACCGACUAAUGUUGAAAAAUUAGCGGAUGACCUGUGGCUGGGGGUGAAAGGCCAAUCAAACCGGGAGAUAGCUGGUUCUCCCCGAAAGCUAUUUAGGUAGCGCCUCGUGAAUUCAUCUCCGGGGGUAGAGCACUGUUUCGGCUAGGGGGCCAUCCCGGCUUACCAACCCGAUGCAAACUGCGAAUACCGGAGAAUGUUAUCACGGGAGACACACGGCGGGUGCUAACGUCCGUCGUGAAGAGGGAAACAACCCAGACCGCCAGCUAAGGUCCCAAAGUCAUGGUUAAGUGGGAAACGAUGUGGGAAGGCCCAGACAGCCAGGAUGUUGGCUUAGAAGCAGCCAUCAUUUAAAGAAAGCGUAAUAGCUCACUGGUCGAGUCGGCCUGCGCGGAAGAUGUAACGGGGCUAAACCAUGCACCGAAGCUGCGGCAGCGACACUCAGGUGUUGUUGGGUAGGGGAGCGUUCUGUAAGCCUGUGAAGGUGGCCUGUGAGGGUUGCUGGAGGUAUCAGAAGUGCGAAUGCUGACAUAAGUAACGAUAAAGCGGGUGAAAAGCCCGCUCGCCGGAAGACCAAGGGUUCCUGUCCAACGUUAAUCGGGGCAGGGUGAGUCGACCCCUAAGGCGAGGCCGAAAGGCGUAGUCGAUGGGAAACGGGUUAAUAUUCCCGUACUUGGUGUUACUGCGAAGGGGGGACGGAGAAGGCUAUGUUGGCCGGGCGACGGUUGUCCCGGUUUAAGCGUGUAGGUGUGUGUUCCAGGUAAAUCCGGUUCACUUUAACACUGAGGCGU
RNAcentral lists this ribosomal RNA (855 nucleotides) under Salmonella enterica subsp. enterica serovar Virchow. Its description in RNAcentral is "partial 23S ribosomal RNA". It matches the Rfam family "Bacterial large subunit ribosomal RNA", at positions 711 to 1564 of the family's 2925-position model. The record is from RNAcentral. Lineage: Bacteria; Pseudomonadati; Pseudomonadota; Gammaproteobacteria; Enterobacterales; Enterobacteriaceae.